Molecule: long non-coding RNA, 469 nt
Organism: Calypte anna (Anna's hummingbird)
Lineage: Eukaryota; Metazoa; Chordata; Aves; Apodiformes; Trochilidae
Exons: 4
Source: RefSeq, a predicted model, not a curated record
CAUCCUGGCUCGUAGUAAAAACCUCGUGGAGCUGUUACUCAGGCAUGGUGCCAAACUGGAUGCCAAGAAUAAGAAGGGCAGUACCCCACUAACUCUUGCUAUCACUGAAGAACACGAGGAGAUAUUAGAAGAUCUCCUGAAAGCAGGAGCUGAUGUGCAUGCUCGAGAUGAGCAUGAAAGAACCCCACUGAUGAUUGCUGCUUCUGUUGGGGAGAUGUAUUUGGUCAAAGUUCUCCUUUCUCACGGAGCCAAUUUUUCCCAUGAAGACAAAGAUGGGAGGAUAGCUGUGGAUUAUGCUGAUCUCCAUGGCCAUUUACGUGUAAGUCAGUACCUGGCAAAACUGGAGGACACAGCAGAAGCUCCUGCAGGGGAUGCACUUGGAUCUCCUGAGCAGGCAGGAGCUGCUGGAGGGAUAAAAGAAAAAGCAGAGCAGGAGAAGACAGGAGAAGCUCCUGUGUGUAAUGCAGAA